GAGAUCAAAAUAAAAAGAGCUCGGAGACAGCUGCUAUGUUCCCUAGCAAAGCCAAACCUGAUUUAGCAUUCCUUGAGUAACAAAAAUAAUAACAAUAAUACGCAUACCUUCUUUUCCUGUAUGCAUUUGCUCUUCAUGAAAAAGGGGCCGGGGUGAUUAUUUUCAGGGUUAUGAUGGCUGCGAGAAGAAGCUUUGCAGGAAAGCUGAAUCAUCGGAAUAAUCCCAGGAAAUGAUGCUCUGAUGAACGGGAAAGAAGAUGGCUGCGUUACACGAGGCUCUUGCAUACACCUUGCCUAAAAAGUCAUUUCCCACCUUGAUGACACCUCCCGUAUCUCAGUAUUUUCCCACAUCCUACAAAGAUAAUGCCUUAGGAAGUCCCCAGGGCUCAUUUUCUGCCUUCUGUGCCAGUACUGGCAGUUUGCUCUUCUGUUCCAUCUGUCCAACCCGAACUAUGAGGCUGAAAACCAGGGCGAUGCACCCAGCUUCCUGCGCUGCCCCAUAUGUUUCCAAAGGCUGUGCGAGCUGGCAAAACCAUACAGAACGGUCCAUGCUGGCAGUGGGAGGCUGGAGAAGCUGGGAGAUUUGAGGAGGCUCUCAAGGGACUAGGGAAAAAAAAAAAGUCCCAAAUGUGGGAGGGAAUCUUGGCAGAAAUGAAAGGGGGGUUGUUGAGCAAAGCACGCGCUGGCUCCAGCCGCACGGAGCUUGCAAUAUGUUACACUGAGAAUCUGUGGGUGUGUUUAUAAGACCUGCCGCUGACUUGCAUGCACAAAGGAUGUAGCCUCCUCUUAUCAGAAAAAUGUGGGCUUCAGGCUCGCAGAAGAGGGUGAAUGCUUGCAAGACUUCACGUCAAGUCUUCCUUCUGGCUGCGGAGCUCUCGCCCAGCAGAACGGGCCCACAGCUAGGCUUUGACCGGACUGACUUUGGUUUCUGGCAGGCAAAAGCAGUGUCUUUAAUUGUGGCAGGCUAUAAAGUAGUUAGUUCCCCUGCAGUUCCCACAACAAAGCUGCAGUGAGAAUCUGGAUGACUUUCUACAGCGCUGGAAAAAUCCCUCGUUCCGAGCAUCUCUUGGGCAUACGAGAAUAUUUCGAGCUAGUUUCGCUUUGGCCUCGGCCAGCUCCCUGGAAUGAGAACCACAGAGCCACUUCAUGUGAGCAAAUAUUGGCCUUGAUUACUAUUGCAGGCUGAACCCAAAACCAAACAGCAAAUGUGAGGUAAGCUGAGAGGCACCAUUAGCAAAAGCUCACGUAGUAACCUCAGGGAAGGCAGCAGGCGGAAAGCGAGGCGAGGCGCUCUCAUGUUUUGCAGGGAGGAAAGAAGGGAGACUCAAUUCCUGCUGGAGGAAGAAGAUGCUUGGGGAGAGGAAGAGGGAAGCCAACAUCCAGCUAGAUGCUUUUUGUUCAGAGGUCUCUUCGAGGUGACAGAUGCUGAAAUGUGCUUUAAACAAUGUGAGUUUUGUGAAGUAAAAAACCACCGUUCACCUUGGUGGAUUCUCUGAACUAGGUCCUGUUUUCCAAAUGGCAACAUCACCGUGCUACUCAGUUCUUGGUUCUGUGAAAAUUGGGCCCAGCCUGAGACCUAGGAAGGAAAAGAGAAGCAAAGAUGGUGUAAAGCUCUCCACAGCCCCACCUAAGCAGGAAAGCAGCGUUUAGAUGGCUUUGGCAAUCUCUUGCAAGUAUUUUCCCUUUGUCAAUAUCAUCUGCUCCACGCCUGGCAAGUAUAUUUGCUACCUGAGUGUCACAAGCAUAGGACGGCUGCAGGGCGACAGGGAUGUUUAUUCCCCUUUCAGCUUAUCCUCUGCUGAGUAAAAAGAAUGCCCCCAAGCCCUUCUGAACUCAGGAAUCUGAAGCAUUUCUUACCCCCCCUGAGAAAGGGAGAAGGACAAGGAGGUAUUUGAGAUGGUAAUAAAGGACCCUUAGCGACUGCUGAACCACGGAGCUGUGAGGCCAGGAGAGACGUGCCCAAAAUUACGUGCCACGAACCGGUGGAAUUAUCACUAAAGGGGCUAAACCACAACGGGUUGUGUGAAAAAUGCCCAGUUUGUUUUCCACAGCGAGAAAUUGCCGUGCUCAUUUAAGGCAGGUAACAGGACGUGCUCUGCAGGAAUUUUGGAUAAGCUGGGAUAGACCCAAGGCUGAAAACUCAGGUCCCAAAAGUUGGUUUGGGGGCGAGGAUACUUUUGCUGGAUGGCUUGUAUUCCUGGUGUAAAAAUCCUUUUCUUUUUUUUUUUUUUUUUAUAGUGGUGCUGGAUGCCAGCUUUCCCAGCAUUUACAGCUGGCUAGAAAAUAGCUAGCAGCAAGAGAGCAGGGCUAGAGGAAACGAGGUUAGGAAGUGGAGAUACCGAACUGAAAAAUGCGUGUUGCUUAGCGCUGUGCUCGCGUUUAGAUGGCAGCGAUGAUUAUAUUUGAAUUCCUUGGAGGUAAAGAGCUCUGGGCCAUUGUUCUUGGUAUGUCAGAUCAGGAAUGCGGUGUCUGCAACCAUGCAUAAUGGAGCUGCGCUCCCAUCCCGGGGCUUGGAAGAACUCACAAGCUCCAAGGAGAGCUUUCCUCUGCCCGAGACCUCAGUUUUCAUUUAGGUGUGUUUCUGGGGACACGUCCCAUGACUUCAGUCCCAGCACAGCUGUUUGACAACCUGCUUAUCCAACUGGGAUACGUACAUACUUUUACAACGUGGUGUCACUCCCUUUGUAUUGCAGGGAGGGGUCUCUAGCACAAAGUAAAUUUGCUUACUGUGCUACCUAACUGAUGGGUAGAGAUUUCUGCCUCUGAGUCGUACCCCAGCUGAGCAGAGAUGUCGUGUGCGAAUGUUUUGUUUUCCAGCUGCAGCUCUUGUCAUUAAUGUGUGAAGAAAGUAAAAUCGUGUUCCUCUUUUGCUGAAGCAAGAACCACAACGAAGCAGGAGCUCAGCAGGCUGUUUGCACAGGACUGCGUGGGUGGGUGGGUGGUUGGGGAGAGGUGGAAAGGGGGAGAAGAACUCUCUUAAAUGCUACAGUGAGCCAGGUGCUGCUCCUGCCCUCCUCCCAGCUUUGGGGUGCAGGUAUGGGUCCCUCCUAUUUUCUCCAUCAGCAAAGUGAGCAUGAAAGACCCCCAUCGCAGUCCCUCGGUUCAAUCUCUUUGGUUGUGCUGAUGCCUCUGUCUCUCUGCGGGCCUAUAAACUAGAUCAGCGAGCUGCUUUUUUCUUCUUAACCUUCUUUUUUAACUCCAGUGAUCCAGUUUACAGCAUUGGUUUUGAAACGCCUGCAUCAGCACCGCUGAGGCAGCGGCGGCUCUGACACAGCACUAGGACCAAGCGGCUGGGGGAGAAAAGAUGACAUCUCAAGCCAGUUUUGCUGAUGAAGAGCAUUACAGAAUCGCACCCUGAUGCACAAAAACAAGGCAAUGAAGCUGUGAAAUGCUUCACUCUGUAAGGAAAGGCCUUAUAUUCUUCCUAACAUCUGCUACUUGCUGCUUCUGAGGCAGGUUACUGGGCUGUGUUUGCCUUAGUGUGGUCCCAGCUCUUUUACAUCAGCUGCUCCUGUUAUAAUUUGGAUGAACACAGCUAGAACUUGGGUUUAAAUAUGUAAACUCUGAUGCUCUGGUGGUAACACCACUUGCUUUCGCUCCUUCCACAUCUGAAGUUCAUGGUUUUCCACCUUCUGUGCCGUCACAGUUCGGAUUUGGCAUUUGUUAUGGGAGCAAAACAAGAAAGAAUUGGCACAAGGGGAAAAGGAAGCUAUGCUAAUAGACGGUACCUAAAUUCCAGGCAAGUUUUGUGUUCAGAGGACAUGGGCAGUAAAUGGUGAAGUCCACAGAAAUGUGUUGCUCUCUCCUCCUUUGCUCCAAAGAGCCAUUUCCUUCUGUUACAGGGUGCAAAAACCUUGUAAGUUCUCAUUUGCAUUUAUAGCUGGGUGCGUGUAUCGAAGUGACUCCAGAGCUGCCUUUUUUUUUUUUUUUUUUGUAUUAAUUCCAAUUAUGAGUCUGCACAGAAACUACUGAUGUUUCAGGCUUCUGCAAAAGCAGAGUCGAGGCUUCUUGGCAGUAACAGAUUGUGACAUUCUCCAGAUCUGCAUGUGUGCGGUUUCUGUCUGAAGUCACUGUGGUUAGCGUUUAGCAAUGUGACUUCUCUGAUAAAGUAAACACCUUUUGUCUCCUGUCACUCUUCUUUCAGCCUGGAAGAAACUUGUUUUGGAAGAGAUUUCUUCUGCCUCACAAGGCAUUUGGAAAUGAUUUGUCAACACGAAUUUAGCCACCUUACCUGUUUGUGAGAUACAGAAAUGAAAAGUGCCUACGUUUAGGGUUCGUGCAGGCUUCUCCCAGGCACUGCAGCUUGCCAAAAAGCUUAAGCCCAAUUGUCUUGGAUUAGGCCAGCGUAGAGCCUAACAGCGUAGUUCAGCAAAGUGAGCAUUGGUGUGGUCUGUUGUGAAGGCUGGCAAAUUGAAGAGUAAUCUCUGGAUGCUCGGUGUUUUAUUUUCUUUCUCCUGUAAAUCUGGCUGCUGUUGAGGUGCUGGUUUUCAGAAUUCAAUUCAUUACAAGUUUGCUCUUGCAAGCAUUGAUGGAAAAUAUGAGUGAAGUUGACCAGAAGGAUCAAAUAAACAUCAUACCAAUUUGUAGAAAGUAA
Molecule: non-coding RNA, 4593 nt
Organism: Anas platyrhynchos (mallard)
Lineage: Eukaryota; Metazoa; Chordata; Aves; Anseriformes; Anatidae
Source: RefSeq, a predicted model, not a curated record